CUCUGUGACUCCUACGGGAGGCAGCAGUGGGGAAUAUUGCACAAUGGGGGAAACCCUGAUGCAGCCAUGCCGCGUGUGUGAAGAAGGCCUUCGGGUUGUAAAGCACUUUCAGUAGGGAGGAAGGUAGUGUAGUUAACACCUGCACUAUUUGACGUUACCUACAGAAGAAGCACCGGCUAACUCCGUGCCAGCAGCCGCGGUAAUACGGAGGGUGCGAGCGUUAAUCGGAAUUACUGGGCGUAAAGCGCAUGCAGGCGGCCUGUUAAGUCAGAUGUGAAAGCCCCGGGGCUUAACCUCGGAAUUGCAUUUGAAACUGGCAGGCUAGAGUCUUGUAGAGGGGGUAGAAUUUCAGGUGUAGCGGUGAAAUGCGUAGAGAUCUGAAGGAAUACCAGUGGCGAAGGCGGCCCCCUGGACAAAGACUGACGCUCAGAUGCGAAAGCGUGGGGAGCAAACAGGAUUAGAUACCCUGGGAG
Molecule: ribosomal RNA, 473 nt
Filed under: uncultured bacterium
Lineage: Bacteria
Description: bacterial SSU rRNA
Rfam family: Bacterial small subunit ribosomal RNA
Source: RNAcentral